RNAcentral lists this non-coding RNA (27 nucleotides) under Mus musculus (house mouse). Lineage: Eukaryota; Metazoa; Chordata; Mammalia; Rodentia; Muridae. The record is from RNAcentral.
UGGUGUUCAGAUAUAUCAGUUUCCAAC